CAUACAUAGCUCUUGAUUCAACCCUAUUCCGUCGGCUCAACUGCAAAUUCACGCAACACAGAUUCUCCAUCUUCAUCUUCUUCAACAACUAUGACUCGCGGUAAUCAAAGGGAGAAAGAUCGCGAAAGAGCUCAAGCUCGUACCGGUGGUAAAGCCAAGAACAAAGAUGAUGGGUUGACUCCUGAACAACGCCGUGAAAGGGAUGGAAAAGCCCUUCAAGAGAAGGCCGCCAAGAAAGCAGCACAGGCGGCAGCGAGUGGCGGUAAUGCUGGAGGUAAUAAAAGCACCAAGAAAUAACACAACUUCUUAAUGGUUUAUUUGAGCGACUGAAUCGUAUGGGUAAGUUCGAGUUUCACAUUAUUAUCAAAAGAUCUAUAAAGAUAUCAUACAUUUGGUUUGUACUCUAACUAUACUGUGCUCUAUUUAUUUAAGAAACAAUCUUUUGGUUUUGGCAUGAUGGACAGAUUGGAAGAGUUUGAAAAAAAAAAAAAAAAAAAAAAAAAAAAAAAAAAAAAAAAAAAAAAAAAAAAAAAAAAAAAAAAAACUAAUGGAUGA
This 555-nucleotide long non-coding RNA is filed under the name Helianthus annuus (common sunflower). Its description in RNAcentral is "hypothetical non coding rna". The record is from RNAcentral. Lineage: Eukaryota; Viridiplantae; Streptophyta; Magnoliopsida; Asterales; Asteraceae.